AGUAAUGUCUGGGAAACUGCCUGAUGGAGGGGGAUAGCUGCUGGAAACGGUAGCUAAUACCGCAUAACGUCGCAAGACCAAAGAGGGGGACCUUCGGGCCUCUUGCCAUCGGAUGUGCCCAGAUGGGAUUAGCUAGUAGGUGGGGUAACGGCUCACCUAGGCGACGAUCCCUAGCUGGUCUGAGAGGAUGACCAGCCACACUGGAACUGAGACACGGUCCAG
Molecule: ribosomal RNA, 222 nt
Filed under: uncultured bacterium
Lineage: Bacteria
Description: partial 16S ribosomal RNA
Rfam family: Bacterial small subunit ribosomal RNA
Source: RNAcentral